Molecule: ribosomal RNA, 463 nt
Filed under: uncultured bacterium
Lineage: Bacteria
Description: partial 16S ribosomal RNA
Rfam family: Bacterial small subunit ribosomal RNA
Source: RNAcentral
CGAACGCUGGCGGCGUGCUUACCACAUGCAAAUCGAACGGAAAGGCCCCUUUGGGGGUACUCGAGUGGCGAACGGGUGAGUAACACGUGAGUAACCUGCCCUUGACUUCGGGAUAACUUCAGGAAACUGGGGCUAAUACCGGAUAGGAAUCCUUGCUGCAUGGUGGGGGUUGGAAAGCUUCGGCGGUUUUGGAUGGACUCGCGGCUUAUCAGCUUGUUGGUGGGGUAGUGGCUUACCAAGGCUUUGACGGGUAGCCGGCCUGAGAGGGCGACCGGCCACAUUGGGACUGAGAUACGGCCCAGACUCCUACGGGAGGCAGCAGUGGGGAAUAUUGCACAAUGGGCGGAAGCCUGAUGCAGCAACGCCGCGUGCGGGAUGACGGACUUCGGGUUGUAAACCGCUUUCAGCAGGGGCGAAGCUUGUGGUGACGGUACCUGCAGAAGAAGCACCGGCUAACUACGUG